RNAcentral lists this ribosomal RNA (202 nucleotides) under uncultured bacterium. RNAcentral's name for it is "partial 16S ribosomal RNA". It matches the Rfam family "Bacterial small subunit ribosomal RNA", at positions 524 to 724 of the family's 1533-position model. The record is from RNAcentral.
UACGUAGGUGGCAAGCGUUGUCCGGAAUUACUGGGUGUAAAGCGCGUGUAGGCGGGAGGCCAAGUCUGCUGUGAAAUCGCUCGGCUCAACUGGGCGAGGUCGGUGGAAACUGGUCCCCUGGAGGACGGUAGAGGCGAGUGGAAUUCCCGGUGUAGUGGUGAAAUGCGUAGAGAUCGGAGGAACGACCAGCGGCGGAAGGCGG